UACGGGGGGGGCAAGCGUUGUUCGGAAUUACUGGGCGUAAAGGGCUCGUAGGUGGCCAACUAAGUCAGACGUGAAAUCCCUCGGCUUAACCGGGGAACUGCGUCUGAUACUGGAUGGCUUGAGUUUGGGAGAGGAAUGCGGAAUUCCAGGUGUAGCGGUGAAAUGCGCAGAUAUCAGGAGGAACACCGAUGGCGAAGGCAGGUCUCUGGGCCACUACUGACGCUGAGAAGCGAAAGCAUGGGGAGCGAACAGG
RNAcentral lists this ribosomal RNA (253 nucleotides) under uncultured bacterium. Its description in RNAcentral is "partial 16S ribosomal RNA". It matches the Rfam family "Bacterial small subunit ribosomal RNA", at positions 524 to 776 of the family's 1533-position model. The record is from RNAcentral.